UUUUGCGGUAAAAUGUGAUAAUCGACUUUUGGAAUUUCGAUCCGAGAAUCAUUCACGGGAACCUCAACGUUAUUACUCAAUGGCAACAUCAACAUCUUUGCCAAAUAUACAUUCGGAAGUAGAAGACAUGCAAAUUGACGCGGUACGUUUUAAACCCCUAACUGAGCAAGAAAAGAUUUGUCGUCGUCAAGAAGGAUUAUGUUUAUAU
RNAcentral lists this long non-coding RNA (208 nucleotides) under Physcomitrium patens. Its description in RNAcentral is "long non-coding RNA (PPAT_LNC010846)". The record is from RNAcentral. Lineage: Eukaryota; Viridiplantae; Streptophyta; Bryopsida; Funariales; Funariaceae.